RNAcentral lists this ribosomal RNA (450 nucleotides) under uncultured bacterium. RNAcentral describes it as "bacterial SSU rRNA". It matches the Rfam family "Bacterial small subunit ribosomal RNA", at positions 354 to 796 of the family's 1533-position model. The record is from RNAcentral.
GUGGGGAAUUUUGGACAAUGGGCGCAAGCCUGAUCCAGCCAUGCCGCGUGAGUGAAGAAGGCCUUCGGGUUGUAAAGCUCUUUCGGCGGGGACGAAAUGGCGUGGGCGAAUAUCCCGCGUCGAUGACGGUACCCGUAGAAGAAGCACCGGCUAACUACGUGCCAGCAGCCGCGGUAAUACGUAGGGUGCGAGCGUUAAUCGGAAUUACUGGGCGUAAAGCGUGCGCAGGCGGUCUCGCAAGUCCGAUGUGAAAUCCCCGGGCUCAACCUGGGAACUGCGUUGGAAACUACGAGGCUGGAGUACGGCAGAGGGGGGUGGAAUUCCACGUGUAGCAGUGAAAUGCGUAGAUAUGUGGAGGAACACCGAUGGCGAAGGCAGCCCCCUGGGCUAGUACUGACGCUCAUGCACGAAAGCGUGGGGAGCAAACAGGAUUAGAUACCCUUGUAGUCC